RNAcentral lists this ribosomal RNA (644 nucleotides) under uncultured bacterium. Its description in RNAcentral is "bacterial SSU rRNA". It matches the Rfam family "Bacterial small subunit ribosomal RNA", at positions 231 to 893 of the family's 1533-position model. The record is from RNAcentral.
CUAUGUCCUAUCAGCUAGUUGGUGAGGUAAUGGCUCACCAAGGCUAUGACGGGUAUCUGGUUUGAGAGGAUGAUCAGACACACUGGAACUGAGACACGGUCCAGACUCCUACGGGAGGCAGCAGUGAGGAAUAUUGCACAAUGGAGGAAACUCUGAUGCGGCAACGCCGCGUGGAGGAUGACGCAUUUCGGUGUGUAAACUCCUUUUAAGAGGGAAGAUUAUGACGGUACCUCUUGAAUAAGCACCGGCUAACUCCGUGCCAGCAGCCGCGGUAAUACGGAGGGUGCAAGCGUUACUCGGAAUCACUGGGCGUAAAGGGUGCGUAGGCUGACUUUUAAGUCAGGCGUGAAAUCCAAUGGCUUAACCAUUGAACUGCGCUUGAAACUGGGAGUCUAGAGUUCAGAAUGGGCAGAUGGAAUUAGUGGUGUAGGGGUAAAAUCCGUAGAUAUCACUAGGAAUAUCAAAAGCGAAGGCGAUCUGCUGGGAUGAUACUGACGCUGAGCACGAAAGCGUGGGGAGCAAACAGAUUAGAUACCCUGGUAGUCCACGCCCUAAACGAUGAAUGCUAGUCGUCGGGGAGCUCGUCUCUUCAGUGAUGCACUUAACAGAUUAAGCAUUUCCGUCUGGGGAGUACGGUCGCAAGA